AUGGAGAUGCUGGGGGACGGACCAGCAGGCUUCCGCUCCUCUGCCAAUGCCGUCUACAGGGGCGCGGGCAGUCCUGUGGCAGGGGAGGUCGCGGCCGAAGCACCAGAGGAGGGCGCGGUCGAGGGAACCGCUCUGCUUCAUCUCUUGGUCGCGGUGGUGGUGGCGGCUACCAGCAGCAACGACUUCGUCCCCAACCACAACAACAGCAGUAGCAAGAAGGUGACCAUCCAGAGUGCCAGAUCUGCUACAAGUUUCAUGCCGGUGGCGCAAGAGCGUGCUGGCAUCGCUAUGAUGAUGAUCAUGAGGAGAAGAAGGCAGCCAACCUCGUCACCAACAACUACGGCAUUAACACCAACUGGUAUGCCGACUCCGGUGCUACUGAGCAUAUUACCGGGGAACUUGACAAGCUGA
This 411-nucleotide ribosomal RNA is filed under the name Triticum aestivum (bread wheat). Its description in RNAcentral is "partial small subunit ribosomal RNA". The record is from RNAcentral. Lineage: Eukaryota; Viridiplantae; Streptophyta; Magnoliopsida; Poales; Poaceae.